UACGAAGGGGGCUAGCGUUGCUCGGAAUCACUGGGCGUAAAGGGUGCGUAGGCGGGUCUUUUAAGUCAGGGGUGAAAUCCUGGAGCUCAACUCCAGAACUGCCUUUGAUACUGAAGAUCUUGAGUUCGGGAGAGGUGAGUGGAACUGCGAGUGUAGAGGUGAAAUUCGUAGAUAUUCGCAAGAACACCAGUGGCGAAGGCGGCUCACUGGCCCGAUACUGACGCUGAGGCACGAAAGCGUGGG
This 243-nucleotide ribosomal RNA is filed under the name uncultured bacterium. Its description in RNAcentral is "partial 16S ribosomal RNA". It matches the Rfam family "Bacterial small subunit ribosomal RNA", at positions 524 to 765 of the family's 1533-position model. The record is from RNAcentral.